UCGGGUUGUAAACCCCUUUCGACCGGGAAGAUAAUGACGGUACCGGUAGAAUAAGCCCCGGCUAACUUCGUGCCAGCAGCCGCGGUAAUACGAAGGGGGCAAGCGUUGUUCGGAAUUAUUGGGCGUAAAGGGUGCGUAGGCGGUUUUGUAAGUCUGGUGUGAAAUCUCCGGGCUCAACUCGGAGGCUGCCCCGGAAACUGCCGGGCUUGAGUAUGGGAGAGGUGAGUGGAAUUCCCGGUGUAGCGGUGAAAUGCGUAGAUAUCCGGAGGAACACCUGUGGCGAAAGCGGCUCACUGGACCAUUACUGACGCUGAUGCACGAAAGCUUGGGGAGCAAACAGGAUUAGAUACCCUGGUAGUCCACGCCCUAAACGAUGAAUGCUUGGUGUGA
RNAcentral lists this ribosomal RNA (390 nucleotides) under uncultured Acidobacteriota bacterium. RNAcentral describes it as "bacterial SSU rRNA". It matches the Rfam family "Bacterial small subunit ribosomal RNA", at positions 418 to 825 of the family's 1533-position model. Lineage: Bacteria; Pseudomonadati; Acidobacteriota. The record is from RNAcentral.